This 216-nucleotide unclassified non-coding RNA is filed under the name Hevea brasiliensis (rubber tree). The record is from RNAcentral. Lineage: Eukaryota; Viridiplantae; Streptophyta; Magnoliopsida; Malpighiales; Euphorbiaceae.
CCAAUGCGCCAAUAAGAAUGUACUGCAUGCAAGAACAAGGGUCAUAAUUCAAAAGAAUUGGUAUUUUCCUUGUAGUAGUUAAAGGCACCAUAGACAGUGAGAAUGAAACCAAAAGAAGAAUCCUAGAUACAAUUUCACCCUGAAUAGAUGAUUAUUUCAGUUUUAUCAAAUGAUUCGUAGAGAAAAGCAAACCUUGAUGAUAGGCUUUUCAGUCAU